UGCUGGAGGUAUCAGAAGUGCGAAUGCUGACAUAAGUAACGAUAAAGCGGGUGAAAAGCCCGCUCGCCGGAAGACCAAGGGUUCCUGUCCAACGUUAAUCGGGGCAGGGUGAGUCGACCCCUAAGGCGAGGCCGAAAGGCGUAGUCGAUGGGAAACAGGUUAAUAUUCCUGUACUUGGUGUUACUGCGAAGGGGGGACGGAGAAGGCUAUGUUAGCCGGGCGACGGUUGUCCCGGUUUAAGCAUGUAGGCUGGUUAUCCAGGCAAAUCCGGAUAAUCAAGGCUGAGGUGUGAUGACGAGGCACUACGGUGCUGAAGUAACAAAUGCCCUGCUUCCAGGAAAAGCCUCUAAGCAUCAGGUAACAUCAAAUCGUACCCCAAACCGACACAGGUGGUCAGGUAGAGAAUACCAAGGCGCUUGAGAGAACUCGGGUGAAGGAACUAGGCAAAAUGGUGCCGUAACUUCGGGAGAAGGCACGCUGGUGUGUAGGUGAAG
RNAcentral lists this ribosomal RNA (494 nucleotides) under Klebsiella pneumoniae. RNAcentral's name for it is "bacterial LSU rRNA". It matches the Rfam family "Bacterial large subunit ribosomal RNA", at positions 1271 to 1767 of the family's 2925-position model. Lineage: Bacteria; Pseudomonadati; Pseudomonadota; Gammaproteobacteria; Enterobacterales; Enterobacteriaceae. RNAcentral also lists the same sequence under 1 other name. The record is from RNAcentral.